Molecule: long non-coding RNA, 2442 nt
Organism: Gasterosteus aculeatus aculeatus (three-spined stickleback)
Lineage: Eukaryota; Metazoa; Chordata; Actinopteri; Perciformes; Gasterosteidae
Source: Ensembl
UUUCCACACAGCCCAGCGGAAUCAGGUAAAAGAAGAUGUCAUUAUAGAGUCACACUUCAAACCACGACUGCUUUGUUGCUCGGGAAGUCAGAGUUGAGUCGUGAAAGGGCUUUCAGCGCCGCCUCCUCUGCCACUGACACUGUGGGCUGCCAAAAAAUCUGAAGCCCACUCUGUAACUUUGGAACUCCAUAUUCUCGCUGUACAUAGACUACAGCACCCACCUUGUAGGGCAUCGCAGGUCACUUUGUAGCGAGCAUGCAUAUGACGCUGUCAUGGUAACCGCCGUUUAUAGCGAACCACAGGAAGGCGGGAGCCCGUGAUUGCUCUUUUGUUGCCUUUUCUCCAAAAUUACGCCUUUCUUUUUCUUAUGCUACAUGUUUCCCUAUAGGUCUAAAUCAUGGCUCAGUAUCUCAUAACAUAAAACAUAAAAAUACACCACAUGGAAAUUCUAAUAUGUCAAUGAGAAUAAUUAAUCAUUUAGCUAUUUAUUUAACUAAAAGGUAGUUUAAAUUAUCUUAUAAUUUACACUCAUUAUAUUACAUUUUUUGUGAAUGUUUAUGAAUAGUGUUAUGAAUGAUAUUUAUUGUAUAUGUACAAUUUGUUCUGAAAUGUACGUGUCUGAAAUGUGUUUGUUUUUAGACAAGCAAUUUGAGCUUUAAAAAUGUAAUAUUCACAAACAAAGCUUUUUUGAGAUCGGAGAAGGAUUUCAUAAAUCUUGACCAUCAAACCAUCUGAGGAAAUCACAAGACACAAAUAAAUAUGUUACAAAAAGCAAAGAGCACCCUCUUUGCUUUUUGUACUCCGGCUUCCUCCCACAGUCCAAAGACCUGCUGUGGGGAUUAAGUUAAUUGGUGACUCUGAAUUGCCCGUAGGUGUGUGAAUGUGAGUGUGAAUGGUUGUUUGUCAGCCUUGCGAUUGACUGGUGACCAGUGCAGGCUGCCCCCCGUCGCUCUGACCCCCUGAAGGACAAGCCGAGUAGAAGACGACUGACAAAGAGAAACACAACCCAAAAGUCAGUAAUGUCUUUUGUUGACUUUUCUUAUCCAUCAAUUUUCAUCAUGUAUUUUGUAGCAAUAGUUGAGCAGCUCCAGCUCCCAAAAUGUGUGUGUAGAAUGUAGAUAAAAAUACAAGCUGUUGUAUGGUAUUGUGAGCACAUACCGUACAUAGAAGGAGAACACACACACACACACAGCUACACACACAACUCAUGCAAUGCACCAUGUUGACUGCUUACCUAAGCGGUCCAGUGUGGUGACCCUCUGUUCUGACAGAUGGUGGCUGUGAGCAGUACCCCUCCAUCAAUGAAAGCUCGAAUGUGCCUGACUCUAGAUAUAGAUAUCAUGAUAUAUUUAGCUAAAUAUUGUAGUAAAUGAAUAAUAUAUUUGUGUUUACUGAGCCUCGAGUACAUACUUUGUGUUAUGGCCAAUUGGUUAAAUUCUUAUAAUGAUUAGCCAAAUGUUCUUAUAUCUCAAAUAAUACAAUCCAAACCAUCUGACGCUUUUGCAUAAUUUACCUGGGAAUCACAUCUACUCAACAUGGCAUUUAUUUUGAAAAAUCAGAUUUAAGACUGUCUAAGAGAUACAUAAUGUGUGCUAGCUGACAGAAUGGGCCAGAAAGACAAAAGAAAUGAGAAAGAAAGCAAAGCGGCUUUUAUCAGUGCACAAUCUAAUUUCUCAAAAGGUACAACGCUUUUCAGCAUAUGUACGGGGCUUUGAGCAUCGGUUUGUACCAAGUACCGAUCCAAGGACCAGUGUUUCUUUUAUAAAGCCGUGUGCAUCACUGUGUGGAUCUGAGUGGAUUUGACUUAAAUACCCUUGACGUAGUCAAACAAAUGUCAUGAAUAAAUACAUUGAAAAAUAUGUACUCAGAAGUUUAAUCAUUUUCCUAACAAUAAAAUGUCAUACAUUUUGUUUGAUUACGUCAUGAAAGCAAUGUUUAGGUCAGUCAUUGGCAUUGUCACCAAUACCCUACCCAGGUACUGUUCCGUUCUAAUAUUUGGGGUAUUGCACCUCUACAUUUUCCUUUUUAUAUCCAGUGGGCCAAAUAGAGUUGGCAAAAGCGCGAAAUCCGUCAAGACGCAUCUGCAAACUGAGCCAACAGUCACACAACACAAAAGUGUCAACAAGAAAAUAGGAGGAAGGAGAGAACGAGAGGGGAAGGCCUCAAUCAGACCCUCCUACUGAUUUAUUCUCUUCAUUCCAACCAGCUCUGAACUACUUGUGAGCACUUUGUAUGAUAGAAUAUAUGCAAGUGUUGUGUGUGUGUGUGUGUGUGUGUGUGUGUGUGUAGAGAGAGAGAGUGAUAGGGACUAAGAGAGAGAGAGAGAGGAAUACCAGAAUGCUAACGUAUGAUUGCAAAACUAAUCUAGAACUCUAUUAAAAGAAGAGACCCUACAGCUCAGGGUUAAACGAAAAAACAAAUGGCAUUACGACAUAUAUAUAC